AAUCAACGCUGGCGGCGUGCCUAACACAUGCAAGUCGAACGCGAGAGGGGCUUCGGCCCUGAUUGAGUGGCAAACGGGUGAGUAACGCGUGGGUGACCUACCUUCGAGUGGGGGAUAACGUUCCGAAAGGGACGCUAAUACCGCAUAACAUCCUGUCUUUGGACAGAUGGAGAUCAAAGCCGGGGAUCGUAAGACCUGGCGCUUGAGGAGGGCCCGCGUCCGAUUAGCUAGUUGGUGGGAAUGGCUCACCAAGGCAACGAUCGGUAGCCGGCCUGAGAGGGCGGACGGCCACACUGGGACUGAGACACGGCCCAGACUCCUACGGGAGGCAGCAGUGGGGAAUUGUUCGCAAUGGGCGCAAGCCUGACGACGCAACGCCGCGUGAAGGAUGAAGGUCUUCGGAUUAGUAAACUUCUGUU
Molecule: ribosomal RNA, 419 nt
Filed under: uncultured bacterium
Lineage: Bacteria
Description: bacterial SSU rRNA
Rfam family: Bacterial small subunit ribosomal RNA
Source: RNAcentral